Molecule: ribosomal RNA, 253 nt
Filed under: uncultured bacterium
Lineage: Bacteria
Description: partial 16S ribosomal RNA
Rfam family: Bacterial small subunit ribosomal RNA
Source: RNAcentral
UACGUAGGGGGCAAGCGUUGUCCGGAAUCAUUGGGCGUAAAGAGCGUGUAGGCGGCUUGGUAAGUCCGCUGUGAAAGUCCAGGGCUCAACCCUGGAAAGCCGGUGGAAACUGUCAAGCUUGAGUCCGGAAGAGGCGAGUGGAAUUCCUGGUGUAGCGGUGAAAUGCGCAGAUAUCAGGAGGAACACCAAUGGCGAAGGCAGCUCGCUGGGACGGUACUGGCGCUGAGACGCGAAAGCGUGGGGAGCAAACAGG